GGUGGCUCCUGGUCUCACCUAGGACAUACUUCCCUUUGGGAGGUGAGGGGCCUCUUGUGGCCCCACGGAGGGGUCCAGGUCUGCUGCCCUCAGCCCAAAGGUGCCGUUCCCGACAGCGUCUCUGUGUGAAUGUGUGAGUGUGUGGGUGGGGAGUCCAGGAGAGGGGCGCAGUCUCUGUAGCCCAUGGAAGUGCCUGGAGCAGCAGCCAGGGACUUUCUCUGUCCUUGGCACCUGUCACUACCUGUACCCUCUUUCGGGCUGCUGUGAGCACCGUGCGGUGAGGUGGGGGAUUACUGAGGGUCCUGGGCUACGGAUACGCUGGCACGUGGAGGUAAGAUGGAAUGUUCUGAGCACAGGCAUUGUUUGGAUUCUGGGCGAGGAUUUCAGGAGAGCUUCUUGGAGAAGGAGGGAAGGCUGCUUCCAGGGAGAGUCCUGAACAUGUGGCCUGAGCCCUUCCCCUACCCACACCCCAUGCUCUCUGUUCUAGACCUGGAUCAGGGCCCACAGAACUGGCCUGCUGCCGAACCCGGACCCUGUCCAUCCUCCACAAGGAGCCUCGGAGUCCAGCGACCAGGAAGCCAUUGCGUGGCUGACCUAUGACCCAGUGGAUCCCUGGCAGUCAGUGGUCCCAGAGGACGAGGAGGAGGGCCCUGGCGCAGGCCUCCCAGAGGCUGUGCUGAGAGCAGGGCAUGUGCUACAGGGAGGGCAGCUGCCUGCCUACCUGCCGCAGGAGGACUGGGUCCCUGCAAGCGCCCCCAGGCCAGCUCCCCCACAGUCAGAGGGCAGCAGUGGUGACUACUGUGCCCUGGGCUGCUCUGGGGGCUGCCACCCCUGUACCUUCCCAGGAAGCACACGGAGCUCUGGGCCCAGCCUGGUUUUGGCCCACGGCCUUUCUGGUGACCAGCAGAGCCUGGAUGCCUGGCGAGGAAGUACCUGUGUGGGAGUCGGUCACGGAAAUCCCCUGCCUUGGAAGCAGUCGCUCCCCCCGGGCCCUCCGGAGCCCCUUGCCUGCUCCCCGUCUCCAUGAAUCGCCUCUUCUGGGCAUUUUGUAGAAAUGGAGUUACAGGGUGCGUGACUUGCCCCACGGCCUUAUUCCUCAGUGUAGUGUUUUCGAGGUUCGCCCACUUCGUGGCAUCAGUGGCCUCACCCUUACUGUGACCCUUGCGCUGUUACCAGGUUUUCCCUGUUGCAAGCAGCACUGCUGUGAAUAUUCAUGGAAAAGUUUUUUUUGGUACCUGUUUUCUCUGUUUCUGUGUGUAUUCCUAGGAACGGAAUUGCUAGAUCACAUGGUAUGAUCAUAUCUAUGUUUAGAAUUUUUGAGGAACUGCCAAACUGUUCUCCACAGUGACUUCAGCAUUUUACAUCAAUGGUGUACUCGGGUUACAAUUUCUCCACAUCCUCACCAACUGUUGUUAGUGUCCUUAAAAAAUAUAUAUAUUUUUAAAGCUUCUUAAUUUAAAUAAUCUCUGCAUCCAAUGUGGGACUUGACUCACGACCCUGAGAUUGAGAGUCCCAUGCUUGGGGUGCUUGGGUGGCACAUUCGAUUUUAAGUGUCCGACUCUUGGUUUUUGUUCAGGUCAUGAUCUCGGGGUCACGCGAUUGAGCCCCGUGUAGGACUCAGCACUCGGUAUGGCAUCUGUUUGGGAUUCUCUCUCCCUCUCCCUCUGCUCCUCUCCGUCAUUCUAACUCUCUCUAAAAUAAAUAACUAAAUCCUUAAAAAAAAAAGAGAGAG
Vulpes vulpes (red fox) is the source of this 1732-nucleotide long non-coding RNA. The record is from Ensembl. NCBI's taxonomy places the organism in Eukaryota, Metazoa, Chordata, Mammalia, Carnivora, Canidae.